Molecule: unclassified non-coding RNA, 938 nt
Filed under: Sogatella furcifera (white-backed planthopper)
Lineage: Eukaryota; Metazoa; Arthropoda; Insecta; Hemiptera; Delphacidae
Source: RNAcentral
ACACAUUAAAAAAUGUGAAAUAUCCACCAUAUAUACUCUUGUGUAUAACUGGUAUCAGUUGAUCAGAUUCUGAACUACAGUUCAUAGAGUCUGACAACUUGAAGAAAGCUGAUUGAGAAUGCAUGCCAUGUUGAUUAACUUCCGUGGGUGCUACUCAACAGCAAAAGGAACUAGCUGAAUGAGUUUGCAUGCCAUGUUGAUUAACUUCCGUGGGUGCUACUCAACAGCAAAAGGAACUAGCUAAAUGAGUUUGCAUGCCAUGUUGAUUAACUUCCGUGGGUGCUACUCAACAGCAAAAGGAACUAGCUGAAUGAGUUUGCAUGCCAUGUUGAUUAACUUCCGUGGGUGCUACUCAACAGCAAAAGGAACUAGCUGAAUGAGUUUGCAUGUGCCAUGUUGAUUAACUUCCGUGGGUGCUACUCAACAGCAAAAGGAACUAGCUGAAUGAGUUUGCAUGUGCCAUGUUGAUUAACUUCCGUGGGUGCUACUCAGAAGCAAAAGGAACUAGCUGAAUGAGUUUGCAUGCCAUGUUGAUUAACUUCCGUGGGUGCUACUCAACAGCAAAAGGAACUAGCUGAAUGAGUUUGCAUGCCAUGUUGAUUAACUUCCGUGGGUGCUACUCAACAGCAAAAGGAACUAGCUGAAUGAGUUUGCAUGCCAUGUUGAUUAACUUCCGUGGGUGCUACUCAACAGCAAAAGGAACUAGCUGAAUGAGUUUGCAUGUGCCAUGUUGAUUAACUUCCGUGGAUGCUACUCAACAGCAAAAGAAAUCUAUUCUAUUGAUCGGUCGACUUCCUGGCAUACAUACACCAUGUAUUGCCUAGUGUCCCAGAUAGAUAGAUGGUAAGCAAAACACAAUAUUGUGUUUGCUCAGUGUCAAAAUGAAAAUGACAAAAUAGCCAAUACUAAAUGUGAUCAUUAGCCAGCAAGAAUAUAAA